GAUGAACGCUGGCGGCGCGCCUAAUACAUGCAAGUCGAGCGAACGGACGAGAAGCUUGCUUCUCUGAUGUUAGCGGCGGACGGGUGAGUAACACGUGGAUAACCUACCUAUAAGACUGGGAUAACUUCGGGAAACCGGAGCUAAUACCGGAUAAUAUUUUGAACCGCAUGGUUCAAAAGUGAAAGACGGUCUUGCUGCCACUUAUAGAUGGAUCCGCGCUGCAUUAGCUAGUUGGUAAGGUAACGGCUUACCAAGGCAACGAUGCAUAGCCGACCUGAGAGGGUGAUCGGCCACACUGGAACUGAGACACGGUCCAGACUCCUACGGGAGGCAGCAGUAGGGAAUCUUCCGCAAUGGGCGAAAGCCUGACGGAGCAACGCCGCGUGAGUGAUGAAGGUCUUCGGAUCGUAAAACUCUGUUAUUAGGGAAGAACAUAUGUGUAAGUAACUGUGCACAUCUUGACGGUACCUAAUCAGAAAGCCACGGCUAACUACGUG
Molecule: ribosomal RNA, 497 nt
Filed under: uncultured bacterium
Lineage: Bacteria
Description: partial 16S ribosomal RNA
Rfam family: Bacterial small subunit ribosomal RNA
Source: RNAcentral